RNAcentral lists this ribosomal RNA (1059 nucleotides) under Klebsiella ornithinolytica. RNAcentral's name for it is "Raoultella ornithinolytica partial 23S ribosomal RNA". It matches the Rfam family "Bacterial large subunit ribosomal RNA", at positions 441 to 1506 of the family's 2925-position model. Lineage: Bacteria; Pseudomonadati; Pseudomonadota; Gammaproteobacteria; Enterobacterales; Enterobacteriaceae. The record is from RNAcentral.
AAUAUGGGGGGACCAUCCUCCAAGGCUAAAUACUCCUGACUGACCGAUAGUGAACCAGUACCGUGAGGGAAAGGCGAAAAGAACCCCGGCGAGGGGAGUGAAAAAGAACCUGAAACCGUGUACGUACAAGCAGUGGGAGCCUACUUGUUAGGUGACUGCGUACCUUUUGUAUAAUGGGUCAGCGACUUAUAUUCUGUAGCAAGGUUAACCGUAUAGGGGAGCCGCAGGGAAACCGAGUCUUAACUGGGCGUUAAGUUGCAGGGUAUAGACCCGAAACCCGGUGAUCUAGCCAUGGGCAGGUUGAAGGUUGGGUAACACUAACUGGAGGACCGAACCGACUAAUGUUGAAAAAUUAGCGGAUGACUUGUGGCUGGGGGUGAAAGGCCAAUCAAACCGGGAGAUAGCUGGUUCUCCCCGAAAGCUAUUUAGGUAGCGCCUCGUGAACUCAUCUUCGGGGGUAGAGCACUGUUUCGGCUAGGGGGUCAUCCCGACUUACCAACCCGAUGCAAACUACGAAUACCGAAGAAUGUUAUCACGGGAGACACACGGCGGGUGCUAACGUCCGUCGUGAAGAGGGAAACAACCCAGACCGCCAGCUAAGGUCCCAAAGUCAUGGUUAAGUGGGAAACGAUGUGGGAAGGCACAGACAGCCAGGAUGUUGGCUUAGAAGCAGCCAUCAUUUAAAGAAAGCGUAAUAGCUCACUGGUCGAGUCGGCCUGCGCGGAAGAUGUAACGGGGCUAAACCAUGCACCGAAGCUGCGGCAGCGACACUAUGUGUUGUUGGGUAGGGGAGCGUUCUGUAAGCCGUUGAAGGUGGCCUGUGAGGGUUGCUGGAGGUAUCAGAAGUGCGAAUGCUGACAUAAGUAACGAUAAAGCGGGUGAAAAGCCCGCUCGCCGGAAGACCAAGGGUUCCUGUCCAACGUUAAUCGGGGCAGGGUGAGUCGACCCCUAAGGCGAGGCCGAAAGGCGUAGUCGAUGGGAAACAGGUUAAUAUUCCUGUACUCGGUGUUACUGCGAAGGGGGGACGGAGAAGGCUAUGUUAGCCGGGCGACGGUUGUC